This 253-nucleotide ribosomal RNA is filed under the name uncultured bacterium. RNAcentral describes it as "partial 16S ribosomal RNA". It matches the Rfam family "Bacterial small subunit ribosomal RNA", at positions 524 to 776 of the family's 1533-position model. The record is from RNAcentral.
UACGAAGGGGGCUAGCGUUGCUCGGAAUCACUGGGCGUAAAGGGUGCGUAGGCGGGUUUUUAAGUCGGGGGUGAAAUCCUGGAGCUCAACUCCAGAACUGCCUUCGAUACUGGCGAUCUUGAGUCCGGGAGAGGUGAGUGGAACUCCGAGUGUAGAGGUGAAAUUCGUAGAUAUUCGGAAGAACACCAGUGGCGAAGGCGGCUCACUGGCCCGGUACUGACGCUGAGGUGCGAAAGCGUGGGGAGCAAACAGG